GCCGGGGUUCCCGAGUGGCCAAAGGGGCAGGACUUAAGAUCCUGUGGCUUAGUGCCUUCGCAGGUUCGAAUCCUGCCUCCGGCA
RNAcentral lists this transfer RNA (84 nucleotides) under Nanobdellota archaeon. RNAcentral's name for it is "tRNA-Leu". It matches the Rfam family "tRNA". From Rfam's summary of the family: Transfer RNA (tRNA) molecules are approximately 80 nucleotides in length. Their secondary structure includes four short double-helical elements and three loops (D, anti-codon, and T loops). The record is from RNAcentral. Lineage: Archaea; Nanobdellati; Nanobdellota.